UUGUUGAUAAUUGGACCUUUUUUUCAAUAAGUCAGAUCGAUUCUGAAAAUAUUCCUCUAGUUCUGCUUUUAUGGAAUUAUUAAUCCAGUGUGCUUGCCAAUUUUGAUUGAAAAGUAAGUAUCAAGUAGCACAUAUCUUCACAUAACGCUUCUAACACUUCUUGGAUAUUGAGGCACUUACCUUUUGCUGUCAGGUAUCAACAAAAUGAAGGAAACCCACAUUUUUUUUCAAGUAAGCGGCAAUAGGAACUGAGGGUGUAGGAUCUGGUCUUAUUCCUCAAGUCCCUAUGAAGGAUCAACUGUAUGAGCAUUCGGAAGCUUAGAAUGACAUCACGUUCAGUGUCCAGGCUGCUGAUACUUUGCCACGAUAAUUCGCAACAAUCAAUGGUACGUCUGUCCGGUGUUUCCGUUUUACACAUACAACCACCCUAUAAUUCCUAUGCAACUUCCCUUUCUCUACGGAAUGAUAGAGAAAUUUUAACAUGCUCCCAAACUAUUCUGUGCUGUUGUAGAGAAAUUUUAAGACGCUCUUAAAAUAUUCUGGACUGUUCAUUCCUUUUGAUCCAAACGUUUAGAUUCAACGUGGUGACUAGGAGGUAAUAGGUCACUCAUAAGUCAUAACUCUUAAAUAGGCAUCAUUGGCAUUUAUAUUUGAAUAUUUAACAUAGAAGGAAGCAAUGCAUUUGGAAAGUAUCAAUUGACAGUAUGAAAGCAUAUCGCUAUACGUUAUCUAAGACAUUUUCUAUAACAUAUUAAGCCAUACUAACUAAUUUAAUGUUUUCUGCUAGUGUGCAAUAUGAUAAUUAUCAGUAUCCUUCGUGUUACAGAAACAUUGCAGGUUCUGUGCUUUGCUUUCUUGGAGCAUUCAAUUUGCUUAUGCACUCAUUGGCCGUCUUCAUCUAAGUUAUAGUGAAGCUUAUCCAACAGCAUGUGUUUCAAGAGAUCAACAGUUUGGGUGGAUGAGCAUCACCUAAGUUAUAGUGAAGCUUCAUUGCCUCCAUUUCAUCCUCUGGUAUGUUCAUUUACGUAAGCAGUUUUUAGAUGAUGACCAUGCUUGUUACUUCAUAUGGUUUAUUAGGUAGCAGAACUCCCUUAUUGUUGGCUUAAUGCAACGAUGUUUGCUUAGCCUUUUCUGAACCACUUAAUAAUAAGACACAUUUCUUUUCUCUUUUCAUUGACUCAUCAGUCUGUGCUACAAUCAGGUUUAUGUUCCGGCAAGUACUGAUCCUGCGGUAACCAACUUCCAUCUGGUGUGGAUUUCAUAUAAGCUGACGUUUCACCGGCACCCUUGACAGUUCUAGCCUUUUAGGUAAUGAUAAUUAAGCAUCCAUAUUUGUGAGUUCCCUUUCCUUGUCCAAUUUCUGACCUUAAGUUCAUUACUCCCUGCACAACGAUUACAGCCAACAGUGAGUUUCGCAGUUGGCAUUCAGGACAUAGCUCCUCUGUCUGAAUAAUAAAAAUAAAUAAAACAUUUGGCCUGAUGUUCUGAGUGAGGCUGAGCCUUGGAGUCCUGCAGUGACCGUAUGGUUAGUAGGUCAAUCUUCCUUUUCUGUUAGUUCUUUACUAAUAAAGCUCAAAAGUGGUAAAAUAUCUCCACUUGUGUCCUGAAAGUCCUGAGUUCAAGACAGCCUCUUUGCAGAAAGGAGCAAGGUAAAGGCGUCUAGAAAUUCCCUUCCCCAGAUGCCACAAUGUGUAGCAGCUUUCGGCAAUGGGUACACCCUUGUCGAAGCUUAAAAGUGAGGAUGUGUCAUGCAUCAGAAGUGGUAACCAAAUGUUUACAGAGCUCACAUUACAUUUGGCGUGAUCAUUCAGUCAAUUGACACUGACUCGUUUUGGUGUGAUCGUCCAGGUGUUUCUCUCAAUUUGCUCCCUGUUGAUGAACCCAUAGCCCGAGCAUGAUUUCAAGGUCAGCUUCUUGGCGAAGGUGUGGCGCCAAGAUGAGAUGAGAUGGAAAUGUGCCACCAACGGUUGAUACUCUGCAUCGAGCGCAUACCACAGUCAGUUUGUUGGCAGAACUAACCCUGUAUGUCUUCCUUGAUUUGAUCAGGCAUGUCAUAACAAAUGCUGCGAUGAACUAAGCCCAUUCACUGCUUGUGUCUCACGAAUUAUUCCUUGGAUUUUUAGUCGUCCUCACACCUACUAAUAGUAUGUGCCUCUAGUAUAGGUAUUCCCAUGAGUUCCCUGUGAAGGCGAAUGAGAAUUCCUAGUUUGAGUUUGUAGGCAGUGGGUGAGGUUGUGCGUGUUGUGCUGCGAGCACUACGUUCCGUUAAGUGUUAGCUGUUAUGUGUGGACCGCAAGGGUUUGUCCUUAGAGCAACUCCAACGGGCCGACCCAAACGGACGGCGAUUUCGUCCGCCUUUUGUCCAUUUGGGUCGGCCUCCCGCCCGCCGCCGCCCUGUUUUUCAUAUGGGUCGGCACCGCGCCCAACGCGUCGACCCAUAU
This 2441-nucleotide long non-coding RNA is filed under the name Triticum aestivum (bread wheat). Its description in RNAcentral is "long non-coding RNA (TAES_LNC026214)". Lineage: Eukaryota; Viridiplantae; Streptophyta; Magnoliopsida; Poales; Poaceae. The record is from RNAcentral.